AUUGAACGCUGGCGGCAGGCCUAACACAUGCAAGUCGAGCGGAUGAAGGGAGCUUGCUCCUGGAUUCAGCGGCGGACGGGUGAGUAAUGCCUAGGAAUCUGCCUGGUAGUGGGGGAUAACGUCCGGAAACGGGCGCUAAUACCGCAUACGUCCUGAGGGAGAAAGUGGGGGAUCUUCGGACCUCACGCUAUCAGAUGAGCCUAGGUCGGAUUAGCUAGUUGGUGGGGUAAAGGCCUACCAAGGCGACGAUCCGUAACUGGUCUGAGAGGAUGAUCAGUCAAAAUGGAACUGAGAAAAGGUCCAGACUCCUAAGGGAGGCAGCAGUGGGGAAUAUUGGACAAUGGGCGAAAGCCUGAUCCAGCCAUGCCGCGUGUGUGAAGAAGGUCUUCGGAUUGUAAAGCACUUUAAGUUGGGAGGAAGGGCAGUAAGUUAAUACCUUGCUGUUUUGACGUUACCAACAGAAUAAGCACCGGCUAACUUCGUG
This 484-nucleotide ribosomal RNA is filed under the name uncultured bacterium. RNAcentral describes it as "partial 16S ribosomal RNA". It matches the Rfam family "Bacterial small subunit ribosomal RNA", at positions 30 to 507 of the family's 1533-position model. The record is from RNAcentral.